CACGUAGGCGGCUUUCUAAGUCAGAGGUGAAAUCCCGGGGCUCAACCCCGGAACUGCCUUUGAUACUGGAGAGCUUGAGUUCGGGAGAGGUGAGUGGAACUGCGAGUGUAGAGGUGAAAUUCGUAGAUAUUCGCAAGAACACCAGUGGCGAAGGCGGCUCACUGGCCCGAUACUGACGCUGAGGUGCGAAAGCGUGGGGAAGCAAACA
This 208-nucleotide ribosomal RNA is filed under the name uncultured bacterium. Its description in RNAcentral is "partial 16S ribosomal RNA". It matches the Rfam family "Bacterial small subunit ribosomal RNA", at positions 568 to 774 of the family's 1533-position model. The record is from RNAcentral.